Paramuricea clavata is the source of this 273-nucleotide non-coding RNA. The record is from the annotation of a GenBank genome assembly. NCBI's taxonomy places the organism in Eukaryota, Metazoa, Cnidaria, Anthozoa, Malacalcyonacea, Plexauridae.
CACAACAGUAACUCACACUUUAUAAAUUUUGCUCAUACAGUAUUGCUGCAGUAUACAGAGGUCAUAGUAAGAUAUAUUACUGGUCAUGUUCGUCGAUUCAAAGAGAAUAAUGAUUGUUGUGCAAAAUAUUAGAUGGGAUACAGUUACCUGCUUUGGGGUUAGCAGGAAGUGAAAACCAGAAACCAUUCCAUCAUCUUACAGUGACCUGUGCUAUAUAUUAACCCAUUGAGCUGCAAUGCGCCCCAGGACGCCCUACUUAUUUUUUUACUUGUC